GAUGAACGCUGGCGGCGUGCCUAAUACAUGCAAGUCGAGCGAAUGGAUUAAGAGCUUGCUCUUAUGAAGUUAGCGGCGGACGGGUGAGUAACACGUGGGUAACCUGCCCACAAGACUGGGAUAACUCCGGGAAACCGGGGCUAAUACCGGAUAACAUUUUGAACCGCAUGGUUCGAAAUUGAAAGGCGGCUUCGGCUGUCACUUAUGGAUGGACCCGCGUCGCAUUAGCUAGUUGGUGAGGUAACGGCUCACCAAGGCAACGAUGCGUAGCCGACCUGAGAGGGUGAUCGGCCACACUGGGACUGAGACACGGCCCAGACUCCUACGGGAGGCAGCAGUAGGGAAUCUUCCGCAAUGGACGAAAGUCUGACGGAGCAACGCCGCGUGAGUGAUGAAGGCUUUCGGGUCGUAAAACUCUGUUGUUAGGGAAGAACAAGUGCUAGUUGAAUAAGCUGGCACCUUGACGGUACCUAACCGGAAAGCCACGGCUAACUACGUGCCAGCCGCCGCCGUAA
This 515-nucleotide ribosomal RNA is filed under the name uncultured bacterium. RNAcentral's name for it is "partial 16S ribosomal RNA". It matches the Rfam family "Bacterial small subunit ribosomal RNA", at positions 28 to 523 of the family's 1533-position model. The record is from RNAcentral.